GGACUACCGGGGUAUCUAAUCCCGUUUGCUCCCCUGGCUUUCGCGCCUCAGCGUCAGUAGAAGUCCAGCGCGCCGCUUUCGCCACCGGUGUUCCUUCCGAUAUCUACGCAUUUCACCGCUCCACCGGAAGUUCCGCACGCCCCUACUUCCCUCCAGACAUGCAGUAUCAAAGGCGCUUCCACGGUUGAGCCGUGGGCUUUCACCCCUGACUGGCAUGCCCGCCUACGCGCCCUUUAAGCCCAGUGAUUCCGAACAACGUUCGCACGGUUCGUCUUACCGCGGCUGCUGGCAC
Molecule: ribosomal RNA, 292 nt
Filed under: uncultured Planctomycetota bacterium
Lineage: Bacteria; Pseudomonadati; Planctomycetota
Description: uncultured planctomycete partial 16S ribosomal RNA
Source: RNAcentral